UAAUGAAUAAUAGAUUUGAAAUAUUUAUUAUAUAGAUUUAAAGAAAUAAUCAUAGAAUACAUAAGUUAUUAAUAGUUAUUAGGUUACUAAUAAAUAAAUAAAAAUUUAUUUUAAUACCUAAGGGAAACCAAAUUUAUAUAUAUAUUAAUAAUAUAUGUAGUAAUAAAUAUACUAAGUGAACUGAAACAUCUAAGUAACUUAAGGAUAAGAAAUCAACCGAGAUAUUAUGAGUAUUGGUGAGAGAAAAUAAUAUAGUUAAUAAAUAAAUGGUAAGUAUUAUGUAAUAUAAUUAUGUAAGAAUAUAGGACAAACUAGUUCUAAAACUAAAUACUAUUAAUAAGCAAAAUAAGUACCGAAAGGGAAAGUAUGUAAAUGGUUAUUUUAUAAGUAAUCAUAGAUAUAAAAUUUAUAUUAAUGAUGUACCUUUUGUAUAAUGGGUCAGCAAGUAAUUAAUAUUAGCAAAAUAACAAAUUAUAAAUAAAUUGAUAAUAAGUUAAUAUUAAUUGACCCGAAAGCAAAUGAUCUUACUAUGACCAGACGGUUAAACGGUCGAACAGGUUGAUGUUGCAAUAUCAUCUGAUGAGUUGUGGUAAGUAGUGAAAGACAAAUCUGAUUUGCAGAUAGCUGGUUUUCUACGAAAUAUAUGUUAGUAUAGCUUUUAUAAUAAUAAUUAUUAUAAUAUACCUUCUAACGAAGAUAUAUUAUAAAGAACGGUACAGCAACAAAUAUAUUUAGGGGAACUAUUGUAGUUUUAUCAAAAAUAUUUGAUCUCGAAAUGUUUAAUUAACCUUCUUACGAGGGUCCCACCCAAUAUCCCCGCAGGGGGGGGGGGGGGACCUUCAAUAUAAUAAUAUAUAUAAUAUUAUUAUCCAUAUCUAAAAGAUGUGGUGCUGAAGGGGAUUAUAAAAAGUCAGAUUAUGUGCGAUAAGGUAAAUAAUCUAAAGGGAAACAGCCCAGAUUAAUAUAUAAGGUUCCUAAUUAUAAAUAAUAAGUGAAAUAAAUAUUAAAAUAUUAUAAUACAAUCAGUUAAUGGAUUUGACAAUAACCAUAUUUUUAAUGAACAUGUAACAAUGCACUGAUCUAUCAUCUCCUAUAUAGAGAUAUUCUAUAUUUACCUAUCAUCUUUGAUGAUACGUUAAUAUAUUAAAUAAUAUUAUAAAUUACUCAUAUUGAGAUUCCCGCCCGCCCCGCAAGGGGCGGGUGGGGGUCGUCGAUAGAAGUAUUAAUAAACAAUAUACGGAUCUUUAUUUUAUUAUUAAGAAUUAUUUAACCGAAUAUUUAAAUAUUAUUAUUAAUAUUAAUAGUAAUAAUAUGGUAGUAGAACAUUUAAUGAAGAAGUAUAUUAAUUAUCAAUUAAUAUAUAAUAAUAAUAGAUUUAUUAUUAGUAAUUAAAUAGAGAAUGCUGACAUGAGUAACGAAAAAAAGGUUAAACCUUUUCACCUAAAACAUAAGGUUUUACUAUAAAAGUACGGCCCUUAAUUAAAUUAUAUAAAUAUAAUCUAAGAUAGGAUAAUUCUAAAUUAAAUAACCCGCCGGGCCACGAUGCAGAGCAUCAUGGACCCGGCGGGGGCAUAUCUUUUAUUUAUUUAUUUUUUUUAAUAAAAAUUAUAAAAGAUCAAGAAAUAUAUUUAAUUUAUACCGUAAUGUAUACCGACUCAGGUAUGUUAGUAGAGAAUAUUAAGGUGAAUUAGAUAAUUAAAGGGAAGGAACUCGGCAAAAAUAGCUCUAACGUUAGUCAAUAAAGAGAUAUAAGAACAAGGUUGUACAACUGUUUAAUAAAAACACCGCACUUUGCAUAAACGAUAAGUUAACGUAUAAGGUGUGAACUCUGCUCCAUGCUUAAUAUAUAAAUAAUAUUAUUAAAUGAUAAUAUUAUUAAAUUUAAGUAAAUAGCAGCCUUAUUAUGAGGGUUCUAAGGUAGCGAAAUUCAUUGUCCAAUAAUUAUGGUCCUGCAUGAAUGACGUAAUGAUACAACAACUGUCUCCCCUUUAAGCUAAGUGAAAUUAAAAUCGCAGUGAAGAUGCUGUGUACCUAUAGUGUGACGGAAAGACCCUAUGCAGCUUUACUGUAAUUAGAUAGAUCGAAUUAUUGUAUAUUAUAUUCAGAAUAUUAAGUAAUUGAUUAAAUAAAAAUGAGAUACUUAUUAUAAUAAUAUAAUAAUUCUAAUCUUAUAUAAAUCCCCACCCUAAAUCAUAAUACAAAAUAUUAUAGAUUUGGUAAAGGAAUAUUUAAUAGAUAUUAUUCUUAAAUAAAUAUAUAAUAUAUAUCAUAAUACAAAGUAUUAAGUAAAUAAAUUAUAUAAUAAUAAGAGACAAUCUCUAAUUGGUAGUUUUGAUGGGGCGUCAUUUUCAGCAAGAAUAUCUGAAUAAGUCUAUAUAUGUAUUAUAGUAUUAUUAAUAUUAAAGAUUCUCGUUCCUCUUUGGAGGGAUGGGAAUCUAGUUAAAAGUAUAUAUUAUAUAUAUUAAUUAUAAAUAGGAAUAUAUUAAUUUUUUGAAUUAAUAUAUUUUAGUAAUAGAUAAAAUAAUGUAUAGUAAAAUUGUCUAGAAAACAAUAAUAAUAAUAUAUUUAUUUAUAUAUUAUAUAAUAAAAUGUAUUAAAUUAAUAUAAUGGUUUAACUAUGCAACAAUUAUAACACAAACAAGUGAAAUAAGUACGUAAGUAUGGCAUAAUGAACAAAUAACACUGAUUGUAAUGGUUAUUGAUAACGAAUAAAAGUUACGCUAGGGAUAAAAUUACCCAUUGUCCCAUUAUAUUGUAAAAUAUAAUUAUUCAAUUAAAUAAAUUGAAGUAAAUUGGGUGAAUUGCUUAAAUAUCCUUAAUUAAUUAAUAAUAGGACAAUAAGCAGCGAAGCUUAUAACAACUUUCAUAUAUAUAUAUAUGGUUAUAAGAACGUUCAACGACUAGAUGAUGAGUAAAGUUAACAAUAAUUCAUCCACGAGUGCCCAAUAUCAAAUAAAUAUAAUAUCAUAAAAAAAUAUAUAAUACCCCCCGCCGAGUCCUAUCCAUGAUGCAAAUAAAUUCUGUAUUAUGGUAUAGUUCGAAAGGUAUUAUUUAAAUUAAGUAUUAAACAAUUUUAAGAUUAUUAUAUAUUCUUUUUAAAGGGAUAAUUUAUUUGAUAAUGAUAUAGUCUAAACAAUUUGGUAACAAAUUGAUAAAUAAAUAUGUAAUAAUAUUUAUAUAAUAAUAAUAAAUUGAACAGGGUAAUAUAGCGAAAGAGUAGAUAUUGUAAGCUAUGUUUGCCACCUCGAUGUCGACUCUACCUAUCCUCUUGGUUGUAAAUGCUAAGAAGGGUUUGACUGUUCGUCAAUUAAAAGGUAACGUGAGUUGGGUUAAAUACGAUGUAAAUCAGUAUGGUUCCUAUCUACUAUAGGUAAUAUUAUCAACUUAAGUCUUAUUCUUAGUACGCAAGGAUCAGAAUGAAUUAAUCCAUGGUGUAUCUAUUGAUUAUUUUAUAAUAUAUAUAUAUUAUAUAUAUAUAUUAUCUAUAUUAAUUUAUAUUUUAAAAUAUUAAUUCCAUAAAUAUCAUUUCAUGAUAAUAAAUGGAAUAUUAAAUAGUCAUAGUAGAGAAGCUAAAUUAAUAAAAAAUAAGUAUUGAAAGCAUAUAAAAUACGAAGUUGUCUUAAGAUGAGAUAAUAAUCUGAUUAUUUUAUACU
Molecule: ribosomal RNA, 3653 nt
Filed under: Torulaspora globosa
Lineage: Eukaryota; Fungi; Ascomycota; Saccharomycetes; Saccharomycetales; Saccharomycetaceae
Description: large subunit ribosomal RNA
Rfam family: Bacterial large subunit ribosomal RNA (bases 43-2006)
Source: RNAcentral